CACCGCGCUCCGAUCACCGCCGCCACUCCGUCCACCGCGCCCACCGCCGCACUUCCAUCGCCAUGACUUCCAUUCCACGGCGGAGCUUUCUACCGACGCGGCCUCUCAGCGACGCACUCCCUGUCUCCCAGCCGGACUCCGCUCAAACCCUACGCCGAAGGCUCUCUUCCAUUUCCUUCAAGAUCCAGCCGAUUUCUUCGCCUGGUACUUCCUGGUCGUUCCGCAGAUCCAAAUCCGUGUCGUCAAUGCGCGAUUUCACCGGUAGUUCUCUCCGGAAGUGGUGGG
This 285-nucleotide unclassified non-coding RNA is filed under the name Hevea brasiliensis (rubber tree). The record is from RNAcentral. Lineage: Eukaryota; Viridiplantae; Streptophyta; Magnoliopsida; Malpighiales; Euphorbiaceae.